CUAUACAUGACUCUGCGCAUAUCAAUAAGCGGAGGAAAAGAAACUAACAAGGAUUCCCCUAGUAACGGCGAGUGAAGCGGGAAGAGCUCAAAUUUGAAAUCUUAAAGGUUUCCCUUGACGGAUUGUAGUUUAUAGAAGUGUUUUCUGUUGGAGUUUCGGUAAAAGUUCUUUGGAAUAGGACAUCAUAGAGGGUGAGAAUCCCGUAUUUGACCGUUACUUUCCUAGCUUUGUGAUACACUUUCAAAGAGUCGGAUUGUUUGGGAAUGCAGUCCAAAAUGGGUAGGUAAAUUUCAUCUAAAGCUAAAUAUUGGCGAGAGACCGAUAGCGAACAAGUACCGUGAGGGAAAGAUGAAAAGAACUUUGAAAAGAGAGUUAAACAGUACGUGAAAUUGUCAAAAGGGAAGCGUUUGACACCAGUGUUGUUUAGUUCGAAAAUCAAUUUAAGAAUGUUUUGAUUUUGAGUAAGUAUUGACUUUAUCAGGCUUGCUGCUUCUUCUACGAAAAUUAUUGAAUGCACUUUUCAGGUUAACAAGUCAACAUCAAUUUCUUUUGUUGUAAAAGGGUAAGAGGAAGGUGGCUUGCUCUUCGGCGCAAGUGUUUAUAGCCUUGUACCUCUGCAAUCGGAGAGAUUGAGGUCUGCAGCGUAGAUCCUUCGGGGUUAGAUACAUUUGUGCUAAGCUAUAGCCUUUCAUAGACAACUUGUUGACUAUGGUCAGUCAUGUAGCUUACUCGCUUAUGUCUAUUUUACCUACGCUUAGGAUGUUGAUAGUCACAGCGUGUAC
Molecule: ribosomal RNA, 782 nt
Filed under: uncultured Neocallimastigales
Lineage: Eukaryota; Fungi; Neocallimastigomycota; Neocallimastigomycetes; Neocallimastigales
Description: partial large subunit ribosomal RNA
Rfam family: Eukaryotic large subunit ribosomal RNA
Source: RNAcentral